Molecule: ribosomal RNA, 497 nt
Filed under: uncultured bacterium
Lineage: Bacteria
Description: partial 16S ribosomal RNA
Rfam family: Bacterial small subunit ribosomal RNA
Source: RNAcentral
GAUGAACGCUGGCGGCGUGCCUAAUACAUGCAAGUCGAGCGAACAGACGAGGAGCUUGCUCCUCUGACGUUAGCGGCGGACGGGUGAGUAACACGUGGAUAACCUACCUAUAAGACUGGGAUAACUUCGGGAAACCGGAGCUAAUACCGGAUAAUAUAUUGAACCGCAUGGUUCAAUAGUGAAAGACGGUUUUGCUGUCACUAAUAGAUGGUUCCGGGCCGCAUUAGCUAGUUGGUAAGGUAACGGCUUACCAAGGCUACGAUGCGUAGCCGACCUGAGAGGGUGAUCGCCCACACUGGAGCUGGGACACGGUCCAGACUCCUACGAGAGGCAGCAGUAGGGAAUCUUCCGCAGUGGGCGAAAGCCUGACGGAGCGACGCCACGUGAGUGAUGGAGGUCUUCGGAUCGUAAAACUGUGUUAUUAGGGGAGAACCAAUGUGUAAGUAACUGUGCACGUAUUGACGGUACCUAAUCAGAAAGCCCCGGCUAACUACGUG